Molecule: ribosomal RNA, 496 nt
Filed under: uncultured bacterium
Lineage: Bacteria
Description: partial 16S ribosomal RNA
Rfam family: Bacterial small subunit ribosomal RNA
Source: RNAcentral
ACGAACGCUGGCGGCGUGCCUAAUACAUGCAAGUAGAACGCUGAAGGAAGGAGCUUGCUCUUUCUGGAUGAGUUGCGAACGGGUGAGUAACGCGUAGGUAACCUGCCUGGUAGCGGGGGAUAACUAUUGGAAACGAUAGCUAAUACCGCAUAAAAUUGAUUAUUGCAUGAUAGUCAAUUAAAAGGUGCAACUGCACCACUACCAGAUGGACCUGCGUUGUAUUAGCUAGUUGGUGGGGUAACGGCUCACCAAGGCGACGAUACAUAGCCGACCUGAGAGGGUGAUCGGCCACACUGGGACGGAGACACGGCCCAGACUCCUACGGGAGGCAGCAGUAGGGAAUCUUCGGCAAUGGACGGAAGUCUGACCGAGCAACGCCGCGUGAGUGAAGAAGGUUUUCGGAUCGUAAAGCUCUGUUGUAAGAGAAGAACGAGUGUGAGAGUGGAAAGUUCACACUGUGACGGUAUCUUACCAGAAAGGGACGGCUAACUACGUG